GGGCCUAUAGGGGCUGGCUAUACAUGCAGUCGAGCGGACAGAAGGGAAAGCUUGCUCCCGGAUGUUAGCGGCGGACGGGUGAGUAACACGUGGGUAACCUGCCUGUAAGACUGGGAUAACUCCGGGAAACCGGAGCUAAUACCGGAUAGUUCCUUGAACCGCAUGGUUCAAGGAUGAAAGACGGUUUCGGCUGUCACAAUUACAGAUGGACCCGCGGCGCAUUAGCUAGUUGAAGUGAGGUAACGGCUACACCAAGGCGACGAUGCGUAGCCGACCUGAGAGGGUGAUCGGCCACACUGGGACUGAGACACGGCCCAGACUCCUACGGGAGGCAGCAGUAGGGAAAAUCUUCCGCAAUGGACGAAAGUCUGACAGGAGCAACGCCGCGUGCCAGUGAUGAAGGUUUUCGGAUCGUAAAGCUCUGUUGUUAGGGAAGAACAAGUGCAAGAGUAACUGCUUGCACCUUGACGGUACCUAACCAGAAAGCCACGGCUAACUACGUGCCAGCAGCCGCGGUAAUACGUAGGUGGCAGCKUUGUCCSGAAUUAUUGGGCGUAAAGGGCUCGCAGGCGGUUUCUUAAGUUGAGGGCCCCCGCCGYUCAACCGGGGAGGGUCAUUGGAAACUGGGAAACUUGAGUGCAGAAGAGGAAGUGGAAUUCCACGUGUAGCGGUGAAAUGCGUAACAGGAUUARAUACCCUGGUAGUCCACGCCGUAAACGAUGAGUGCUAAGUGUUAGGGGGUUUCCGCCCCUUAGUGCUGCAGCUAACGCAUUAAGCACUCCGCCUGGGCCCGAGUACGGUCGCAAGACUGAAACUCAAAGGAAUUGACGGGGGCCCGCACAAGCGGUGGAGCAUGUGGUUCCUAAUUCGAAGCAACGCGAAGAACCUUACCAGGUCUUGACAUCCUCUGACAACCCUAGAGAUAGGGCUUUCCCUUCGGGGACAGAGUGACAGGUGGUGCAUGGUUGUCGUCAGCUCGUGUC
RNAcentral lists this ribosomal RNA (983 nucleotides) under uncultured Bacillus sp. Its description in RNAcentral is "bacterial SSU rRNA". It matches the Rfam family "Bacterial small subunit ribosomal RNA", at positions 26 to 1066 of the family's 1533-position model. Lineage: Bacteria; Bacillati; Bacillota; Bacilli; Caryophanales; Bacillaceae. The record is from RNAcentral.